CUUUUUCUCUAUUUUUUCCACGUGCUGUUCUUCUCCUGCUUCUCAUUCACCAGUGGUUUUGAUCCUUGCAGGGCCAGGCCCAGGAGAAGAAUGGAUUGGAGAAGGGACACCAUGUUUCACAGCUGUGACAUUUGCCAUCGGGCCUCAGGACACCCAAUGGCAGAGGUACUUUGACGAU
This 178-nucleotide long non-coding RNA is filed under the name Macaca mulatta (Rhesus monkey). Its description in RNAcentral is "lncRNA (ENSMMUG00000058840.1)". Lineage: Eukaryota; Metazoa; Chordata; Mammalia; Primates; Cercopithecidae. The record is from RNAcentral.